UCAUGCUACCUGGAAGUAUUGAUUUAAUGUAGAAUGUAGCUGGGUGUGCAAAUGAGAAAAUUUCAAAUCCAAUUCAGGAAUAUUUUUCCAGGAGUUUACAAGAAGGGGAAGAAAUUAAGAGAAUACUUGUAUUAUGGGAAGAUGAAGGCUUUAUCUCCAAACAUAGGCUAUACUAUCUAUAGUGUAAUCAAAAGGAGUACAUUGAGAGCAAUGUGGUUUUGUGGGUCUCAGAAGACUUCUGUCAUCUGUUAAGGAUGGGAGGGGGGGUGUUUGUUGUUGUUUACCAAAUGCGAUUUCCAGCUCCUAAAGGUUUAUGAUCACCAAUAUAUAGCUGUGCUGUCCUUACACCUUACUAAGUGUCUGAAAAGAGUGUUUUGAUGCCUUCAUAUAUUUUAGCCAUUUGCUUACAUCUUGUGUUAGGAAAGAGGAGUAGGAAAUGCUUUCAAAUGUCUCUGUUUGGGGGAUCAGGGAAAGUUUGCUUUUAACAACUGUCUUAAAAAACACUGUCACCAGGUUUCAUCAUACAAGUACAUCCCACUUGUGCAGCUGCAGUAAGACAGUUAGUGAUGAAAAAUACCAAGACCCUUUUCAACUUGGUAGAAAAGACUUGAAGAAUCUCUAUGAAGAUAUUAAAAAGGAAUUACUUGUCUCUGCAUCAGAACUUAAGGAAAUGUGUGAUUAUUACUUUGAUGGGAAAGGAAAGGCCUUUCGACCGAUGAUUGUGGUGCUAAUGGCUCGGGCUUGCAACAUUCACCAUAAUAAUUCCAAGGAAGUGCAAGCAAGCCAGCGCUCUGUGGCCAUAAUUGCUGAGAUGAUCCACACAGCCAGUCUAGUUCAUGAUGAUGUUAUUGAUGAUGCAAAUUCUCGCAGAGGAAAAAGGACGCUUAAUCAAAUCUGGGGAGAGAGGAAGGCUGUUCUAGCUGGUGACUUCAUCCUCUCAGCUGCUUCUGUAGCUUUAGCACGAAUUGGAAAUACUACUAUCAUCUCUGUUCUAACUCAGGUGAUUGAAGAUCUGGUGCGUGGUGAAUUCCUCCAGUUGGGUUCCAAGGAAAACGAGAAUGAGAGAUUUGCUCACUACCUCGAGAAGACUUUUAAGAAGACCGCGAGUCUUAUAGCAAACAGUUGUAAAGCAGUUUCAAUUCUAGGCUGCCCUGAUCCCAAAGUUCAUGAGAUUGCAUACCAGUAUGGAAAAAAUGUUGGCAUAGCUUUUCAGCUAAUAGAUGAUGUGCUGGAUUUUACAUCGUGUGCCGACCGUCUGGGGAAGCCAACAGCAGCAGAUCUCAAGCUUGGAUUGGCCACAGGCCCUGUCUUGUUUGCUUGUCAACAGUUUCCAGAAAUGAAUGCUAUGAUAAUGAGGAGAUUCAGUAAGCCAGGAGAUGUUGAACGUGCUUGGAAAUAUGUGUUGCAGAGUGAUGGUGUGCAGCAGACAACCUACCUCGCCCAGCGCUACUGCCACGCGGCCACGCGAGAGAUCCGCAAACUGCGGCCGUCCCCCGAGAGAGAAGCCCUCGUCCACCUGACAGAAAUGGUUCUCAUGCGAGACAAGUGAGACAACUCCUUCCACUCGUCCUGGCAGCUACUUACCAGACUGUGCCUACAUUUAUUUCAGAAGUUAUUUGCUUCCAACACAGGCUACCAAAAAUUAUUUUUUUAAAAAAACCUUUUUUUUUUUUUUUUAAACAAAAGUUCAGAGUGUUUUACUGCAGGAAGCAAUGCAAUUCAGAGCAAAUCAGACUGUGCUAUACAAUUGUUUUAAGGAGGGGGCUAUUGAUUGUGGGGGAUGGGGAAGAUGUUUACAUGUUGAUGCACAAAGGCCACAAUGACAAUAAAUAUAAAUCAGUGUAUGAGAACUGAA
RNA transcript from Empidonax traillii (willow flycatcher), 1855 nucleotides. It is a transcript of the gene named decaprenyl diphosphate synthase subunit 1, with no coding region annotated. NCBI's taxonomy places the organism in Eukaryota, Metazoa, Chordata, Aves, Passeriformes, Tyrannidae. The transcript is spliced from 10 exons. The record is from RefSeq and is a predicted model, not a curated record.